CUGCCCCUGCCUUUGGGGGUCGACCCUUGUACUCGCAGGACCUUAGGUGACUCUAUUCUACUUCUCUGAUCAUCCAGGAAGCCAACCUGCCUGAGGACGAGUCAUACUCUGUCCUCCCACCCCAGGCCAGAGAGUGGUAUCUGUCUGUCCACAAGUUGGAUCUGAAUGAUGCAGUGUUGCAAUCCCAUUUUAUAAAUGAGGCAACCAAAACUCGAACAGGACCAUAUUGCGACUGAAACAAGGCAUAACAGGUCUUUGACUGGCUAUCCUGUGGGUGUGGACUCAGGCUAGCCUGCGCAAAGUGGUGAGCAAGGUGGUUGGGAAAAUCAAAGGAGGGGGUAAGGUAGUGGCAGGUAACUAUCGAUAAUCUGCUCUUCUUCACAGAAAGACAGGCAAUUAGAUUGAAAAAUACCUGUGAUUCAAAGAAGUCACAAGUCACAGAGACAAACUUUUCCCAGUGUGUUCGAGUCAGAGAACCUUUGCAAAGACCAACAGGCUAAAAGAGAAAAUACAAUGUCAUAUGGAGAAGCUUUGAGAACACUAUGCUAAGUGAAAGAAGCCAGAUACAAA
This 570-nucleotide non-coding RNA is filed under the name Pan troglodytes (chimpanzee). The record is from RNAcentral. Lineage: Eukaryota; Metazoa; Chordata; Mammalia; Primates; Hominidae.